AACGAACGCUGGCGGCAGGCUUAACACAUGCAAGUCGAGCGCGCCCUUCGGGGUGAGCGGCGGACGGGUUAGUAACGCGUGGGAACGUACCCUUUUCUAAGGAAUAGUCACUGGAAACGGUGGGUAAUACCUUAUACGCCCUUCGGGGGAAAGAUUUAUCGGUAAAGGAUCGGCCCGCGUUAGAUUAGAUAGUUGGUGGGGUAAUGGCCUACCAAGUCUACGAUCUAUAGCUGGUUUUAGAGGAUGAUCAGCAACACUGGGACUGAGACACGGCCCAGACUCCUACGGGAGGCAGCAGUGGGGAAUCUUAGACAAUGGGCGCAAGCCUGAUCUAGCCAUGCCGCGUGAGUGAAGAAGGUCUUAGGAUCGUAAAGCUCUUUCGCUGGGGAAGAUAAUGACUGUACCCAGUAAAGAAGUCCCGGCUAACUCCGUGCCAGCAGCCGCGGUAAUACGGAGGGGACUAGCGUUGUUCGGAAUUACUGGGCGUAAAGCGUGCGUAGGCGGAUCAGCAAGUUGGGGGUGAAAUCCCGGGGCUCAACCCCGGAACUGCCUCCAAAACUGUUGGUCUAGAGUUCGAGAGAGGUGAGUGGAAUUCCGAGUGUAGAGGUGAAAUUCGUAGAUAUUCGGAGGAACAUCAGUGGCGAAGGCGGCUCACUGGCUCGAUACUGACGCUGAGGUACGAAAGUGUGGGGAGCAAACAGG
This 702-nucleotide ribosomal RNA is filed under the name uncultured bacterium. Its description in RNAcentral is "bacterial SSU rRNA". It matches the Rfam family "Bacterial small subunit ribosomal RNA", at positions 28 to 776 of the family's 1533-position model. The record is from RNAcentral.